UACAGAGGGCUCAAGCGUUGUUCGGAUUCAUUGGGCGUAAAGGGCGCGUAGGCGGCGCAACAAGUCACUUGUGAAAUCUCCGGGCUUAACCCGGAGCGGCCAAGUGAUACUGUCGUGCUAGAGUGCGGAAGGGGCUACUGGAAUUCUCGGUGUAGCGGUGAAAUGCGUAGAUAUCGAGAGGAACACCUGCGGCGAAGGCGGGUAGCUGGGCCGACACUGACGCUGAGGCGCGAAAGCCAGGGGAGCGAACGGG
RNAcentral lists this ribosomal RNA (253 nucleotides) under uncultured bacterium. RNAcentral's name for it is "partial 16S ribosomal RNA". It matches the Rfam family "Bacterial small subunit ribosomal RNA", at positions 524 to 776 of the family's 1533-position model. The record is from RNAcentral.